This 433-nucleotide ribosomal RNA is filed under the name uncultured bacterium. RNAcentral describes it as "partial 16S ribosomal RNA". It matches the Rfam family "Bacterial small subunit ribosomal RNA", at positions 29 to 507 of the family's 1533-position model. The record is from RNAcentral.
AACGAACGCUGGCGGCAGGCCUAACACAUGCAAGUCGAGCGAGGACUUCGGUUCUAGCGGCGGACGGGUGAGUAACGCGUGGGAAGGUGCCCUUCUCUACGGAAUAGCCCUGGGAAACUGGGAGUAAUACCGUAUACGCCCUAUUGGGGAAAGAUUUAUCGGAGAAGGAUCAGCCCGCGUUGGAUUAGGUAGUUGGUGGGGUAAUGGCCUACCAAGCCGACGAUCCAUAGCUGGUUUGAGAGGAUGAUCAGCCAGACUGGGACUGAGACACGGCCCAGACUCCUACGGGAGGGAGCAGUGGGGAAUCUUAGACAAUGGGGGCAACCCUGAUCUAGCCAUGCCGCGUGAGUGAUGAAGGCCUUAGGGUUGUAAAGCUCUUUCAGCUGGGAAGAUAAUGACGGUACCAGCAGAAGAAGCCCCGGCUAACUCCGUG